AAAUUUGGAAAGACUAGAAUCAACAUGGGUACUUCUAUAAAAAUAUUGGAGUAGCUUAAUGGGUGAUACAUUGAUUGAAAUAAUUCAUGCAUGAUCAUGCCCUAUAGAAACUUUGAUUAUUGAACAUGAUUGAUCAUGUGACUUUCUAAGUAACUGCUACGAGAAAAGGACACAGUUGGGACCAAUAUAUUCUUUUUAGACAAUGAAAGCUUCAAUGUGUGAAUAAUAGACUACUAUUGUCUUACUACCAUGCUUUAAAUAAUGUUAUUAGAUCUUUUAUAGAGUCGUUAUUAGUUCUAAAAUAUUUUAGUUGGUUAAAAAUUUUUAAUUUCCAAAUUUUGAAGUCAUUGUUUUUUUGUAGAAUUUGGAGAAUGUAGCAUCCUAUGGAUUUGCAGAUAAUCUUCAGUUUUUAGUGGAGAGUUGAGUUAUGAGGAUUUGAGGUUGUGGUUGUAUGAAUUUCCUAAACGUUGUGACAAGGGCGAGACACUUCUUCCCCCCUUCUUCUCCUCCUGUGUCUGAAUUACCCCAAUUACUAUUUGAGGGUUAUUGUUCAUAAUGCCCUCAAAUUGCACAUUUUAGCCCCAAAAGCCUACCAAACUAAGUUUAAAUUAACCUUAACCCUUUCUCCUAUGUAUUGAUUUUCAAUCUAACCAUUAAUACCCAAAAAUUAUUUGUUUUCUAGAUUUCAAAUAGUCUAAUUCAUUUGAGAAAUAGAGGUCUUUUUAAUUUGGGGUUUAGAAAAAGCAGGUCCUAACUCAAACCAACGCAGAUCCAUUCGAAUAGUAUAAUAUUACUAAAUGGAAGAUACAUACCUUUUGCUCUUGCUACAAUAUAUUUGCAUCAUAUAGGGCACCUGUGUGUAUAAUUGAGAAUUAUGCUGAAUGCCAAUUGUUUUGAUUGGUGCAGUGCAACAUCUAACGGCAUACUAGAUCGAGCUAUUGAUUCAGAAGAUUCUUAGCAUAAGGACUUCCUCAGGCUGGAGCACGUUGAAGGGUAUCAUGAAUUGUCAGCAAAAACCAAAAUUUUCUUCUCCACUGCUGUUGCAAAAUGGGAUGUUGAUUUCUAUGUCAAAGUGGAUGAUGAUGUCCGUGUCAAUUUGGGUUGUUGAGUUUGUCAUGGCUUUGCAGGAAGCUGGGUGCUUUUCUGUUGUUCUGGAAUGUGUGCUUGCACCUAUUGCUGUUGCUGCAACAUUUGCUCUUCAAAUCC
This is a non-coding RNA of Camellia sinensis, 1206 nucleotides long. Lineage: Eukaryota; Viridiplantae; Streptophyta; Magnoliopsida; Ericales; Theaceae. The record is from RefSeq and is a predicted model, not a curated record.